RNAcentral lists this ribosomal RNA (432 nucleotides) under uncultured bacterium. RNAcentral describes it as "partial 16S ribosomal RNA". It matches the Rfam family "Bacterial small subunit ribosomal RNA", at positions 29 to 506 of the family's 1533-position model. The record is from RNAcentral.
AACGAACGCUGGCGGCAUGCCUAACACAUGCAAGUCGAACGAGACCUUCGGGUCUAGUGGCGCACGGGUGCGUAACGCGGGGGAACCUGCCCUUAGGUUCGGAAUAACUCCCCGAAAGGGGUGCUAAUACCGGGUAAUGUCUUCGGACCAAAGAUUUAUCGCCUUUGGAUGGGCCCGCGUUGGAUUAGGUAGUUGGUAGGGUAAAAGCCUCCCAAGGCGACGAUCCACAGCGGGUCUGAGAGGAUGACCAGCCACACUGGGACUGAGACACGGCCCAGACUCCGGCGAGAGGCAGCAGUGGGGACUAUUGGAGCAUGGGCGAAAGCCAGAGUCAGCAAUGCCGCGAGAGUGAUGAAGGCCUUAGAGUUGUAAAGCUCUUUUACCCGGGAUGAUAAUGACAGUACCGGGAGAAUAAGCUCCGGCUAACUCCGG